UACGGGGGGGGCAAGCGUUGUUCGGAAUUACUGGGCGUAAAGGGCGCGUAGGCGGCUCAAUCAGUCGGGCGUGAAAGCUCUGGGCUUAACCCAGAAAGGUCGUUCGAUACUGUUGGGCUAGGGUGUGGAAGAGGCUACUGGAAUUCCGUGUGUAGCGGUGAAAUGCGUAGAUAUCAGGAAGAACACCCGUGGCGAAAGCGGCUCUCUGGAACGGUACUGACGCUGAGACGCGAAAGCGUGGGGAGCGAACAGG
Molecule: ribosomal RNA, 253 nt
Filed under: uncultured bacterium
Lineage: Bacteria
Description: partial 16S ribosomal RNA
Rfam family: Bacterial small subunit ribosomal RNA
Source: RNAcentral